GGGGGUGUUCCGGAUUCGAUCUUAAUCAAGAGGGCACGACGGCACGCGGAGGAUGAUACUUGGCCUCCUAAAUCAUGUAUCGCUAUGAUAAAUGGCAAAACGACUAACGUCAUCGCCUUCGAGCGUAACAGCUCCCUGGCACUCGCUGCUUAAGUCAGCGACGGUCACCACAGCACACUCCUGCUAAGCUGUCGGGCCGUCUAAAAAGCAGGAAACACCUCACGGUUUCACCGGGUUUUUUGAGGUAAAAUAAAAGACGUGGUUGGUCUGCGCGGGCGCUUCCGCCCCAAGGCAGGCGAGACACAAACGGAAAGCUAAGCGUGUAGAAAUCGUGUUCAGCAGAUUGAGAGACGCGGGUUCAACUCCCGCCACCUCCACCA
RNAcentral lists this transfer-messenger RNA (380 nucleotides) under Puniceicoccales bacterium. It matches the Rfam family "transfer-messenger RNA". Rfam says of the family: Bacterial tmRNA, also known as 10Sa RNA or SsrA, is named for its dual tRNA and mRNA-like properties. The record is from RNAcentral. Lineage: Bacteria; Pseudomonadati; Verrucomicrobiota; Opitutia; Puniceicoccales.